This 253-nucleotide ribosomal RNA is filed under the name uncultured bacterium. Its description in RNAcentral is "partial 16S ribosomal RNA". It matches the Rfam family "Bacterial small subunit ribosomal RNA", at positions 524 to 776 of the family's 1533-position model. The record is from RNAcentral.
UACGGGGGGGGCAAGCGUUGUUCGGAAUUACUGGGCGUAAAGAGCGUGUAGGCGGCCAGUUAGGUCCGUUGUGAAAACUCGAGGCUCAACCUCGAGACGCCGAUGGAAACCAACUGGCUAGAGUUCGGGAGAGGUGAGUGGAACUGCGAGUGUAGAGGUGAAAUUCGUAGAUAUUCGCAAGAACACCAGUGGCGAAGGCGGCUCACUGGCCCGAUACUGACGCUGAGGCACGAAAGCGUGGGGAGCAAACAGG